AGCGAACGCUGGCGGCAGGCUUAACACAUGCAAGUCGAGCGGGCAUAGCAAUAUGUCAGCGGCAGACGGGUGAGUAACGCGUGGGAACGUACCUUUUGGCUCGGAACAACACAGGGAAACUUGUGCUAAUACCGGAUAAGCCCUUACGGGGAAAGAUUUAUCGCCGAAAGAUCGGCCCGCGUCUGAUUAGCUAGUUGGUGAGGUAAUGGCUCACCAAGGCGACGAUCAGUAGCUGGUCUGAGAGGAUGAUCAGCCACAUUGGGACUGAGAUACGGCCCAAACUCCUACGGGAGGCAGCAGUGGGGAAUAUUGGACAAUGGGCGCAAGCCUGAUCCAGCCAUGCCGCGUGAGUGAUGAAGGCCCUAGGGUUGUAAAGCUCUUUUGUGCGGGAAGAUAAUGACGGUACCGCAAGAAUAAGCCCCGGCUAACUUCGUGCCAGCCGCCGCAGUAA
RNAcentral lists this ribosomal RNA (451 nucleotides) under uncultured bacterium. Its description in RNAcentral is "partial 16S ribosomal RNA". It matches the Rfam family "Bacterial small subunit ribosomal RNA", at positions 29 to 523 of the family's 1533-position model. The record is from RNAcentral.